This 377-nucleotide ribosomal RNA is filed under the name uncultured bacterium. RNAcentral describes it as "bacterial SSU rRNA". It matches the Rfam family "Bacterial small subunit ribosomal RNA", at positions 335 to 705 of the family's 1533-position model. The record is from RNAcentral.
ACUCCUACGGGAGGCAGCAGUAGGGAAUCUUCCGCAAUGGACGAAAGUCUGACGGAGCAACGCCGCGUGAGUGACGAAGGUUUUCGGAUCGUAAAACUCUGUUGUGAGGGAAGAACAAGUGCCACGUAACUACUGGCACCUUGACGGUACCUCACCAGAAAGCCACGGCUAACUACGUGCCAGCAGCCGCGGUAAUACGUAGGUGGCAAGCGUUGUCCGGAAUUAUUGGGCGUAAAGCGCGCGCAGGCGGUCCCUUAAGUCUGAUGUGAAAGCCCACGGCUCAACCGUGGAGGGUCAUUGGAAACUGGAGGACUUGAGUGCAGAAGAGGAAAGUGGAAUUCCAUGUGUAGCGGUGAAAUGCGUAGAGAUGUGGAGGA